Molecule: unclassified non-coding RNA, 81 nt
Organism: Bison bison bison
Lineage: Eukaryota; Metazoa; Chordata; Mammalia; Artiodactyla; Bovidae
Source: Ensembl
GGGGACCCCGGAGCUGGGGCCCCGGGUUCGUUGUCUGCGGGGCUGCUUCGAGAACCUAGAUUCGAAAAGAGCUUCCCGAGG